UCAGAGAAAACAAUACUCAAGCCUAACUC
RNAcentral lists this non-coding RNA (29 nucleotides) under Mus musculus (house mouse). Lineage: Eukaryota; Metazoa; Chordata; Mammalia; Rodentia; Muridae. The record is from RNAcentral.